This 447-nucleotide ribosomal RNA is filed under the name uncultured bacterium. Its description in RNAcentral is "bacterial SSU rRNA". It matches the Rfam family "Bacterial small subunit ribosomal RNA", at positions 355 to 825 of the family's 1533-position model. The record is from RNAcentral.
UGGGGAAUAUUGCGCAAUGGGCGAAAGCCUGACCCAGCAACGCCGCGUGAAGGAUGAAGUAUUUCGGUAUGUAAACUUCGAAAGAAUAGGAAGAAUAAAUGACGGUACUAUUUAUAAGGUCCGGCUAACUACGUGCCAGCAGCCGCGGUAAUACGUAGGGACCAAGCGUUGUUCGGAUUUACUGGGCGUAAAGGGCGUGCAGGCGGUUGCGUAAGUUAGGCGUGAAAGACUUCGGCUAAACCGGGGGAGGUCGUCUGAUACUGCGCAACUAGAGUAUGGUAGAGGGAAGUGGAAUUUCCGGUGUAGCGGUGAAAUGCGUAGAUAUCGGAAGGAACACCAGUGGCGAAGGCGGCUUCCUGGACCAAUACUGACACUGAGGGGCGAAAGCGUGGGUAGCAAACAGGAUUAGAUACCCUCGUAGUCCCUGAGCGGGCUGGCAAGGCGCAU